Meriones unguiculatus (Mongolian gerbil) is the source of this 132-nucleotide small nucleolar RNA. NCBI's taxonomy places the organism in Eukaryota, Metazoa, Chordata, Mammalia, Rodentia, Muridae. The record is from Ensembl.
CCUACCCCCAGAAACACUGCAGGUGCGGCUGCUGUGUUGCAUGUGCAUCAGCAGAUGGCAGAGGAGAGAGAGACUAUGUCUAGGCUCAGUGCUCUGACCUGUGACCAUCUGAAUGAUUAGUAGCCCAACAUU